Molecule: long non-coding RNA, 711 nt
Filed under: Heterocephalus glaber (naked mole-rat)
Lineage: Eukaryota; Metazoa; Chordata; Mammalia; Rodentia; Bathyergidae
Description: lncRNA (ENSHGLG00100034028.1)
Source: RNAcentral
UGCAAGAAACAAAAACCCAUUCAAACUAGGUUAGGCAAAAACCCCCCACUUAUUUGAGAAGUAAGAGGCCUUUCCUGUCACCCAAGAACACAACAGCCUGAAUUUCAGUUUAAAAAUUCGAGGAUCAAGGGGACUGUGCCAAGUAAUCUUGACCAUCAACUUGAAUGGAUGUCUUCAUCCUGGGUGACUCCAGGAGAGGUGGCAGAUUAUGGGGGGCUGUACUAACUGGUGGAUUUAUCCUCUAAUGUUGAUGGCUGAAUGUGCUGCUAGGAGGGGACCCAGCUGGAGCCUGUCCACCAACACGUUCCUGCCUUGGAGCCAGUCAGCCAUGGACUGAAACCUCUGAAGCUGUGGGCCAAAUAAACUUCUCCUCCUUUAAGUUCGAGCAGCUGCCCACCAUCAAAGCUCUCAGAGGACCAGCUCUGUGAGCUCGGGACGUCUCUGAAGUUUGAGUUGGGAAUGAUGGGAAAGUAAUACUGGAAUGAUGGAGAAAAAUCAGUCAGCUCAAUUCCCCAGCGUGUAUGAACAUAGGAACAUACACGUGGAAGACACAAAAUUGGUGAAAGACUCUGGCCUGAGUUCGCUGAGACUGGUAUAACUGUGGAAAGAUGACAGUACAGAGGGCCUAGGGAAAGGGGACAAUUGUGAGUAAGAAAGUUCUUUCUUGUGGUUUGGGUGGAUCCCUGGAAUUCAUGUAUUGCAACAUUAAUG